AUGUUCCUACGGGGGGCAGCAGUGAGGAAUAUUGGUCAAUGGGCGGAAGCCUGAACCAGCCAAGUCGCGUGAGGGAAUAAGGCCCUACGAGUCGUAAACCUCUUUUGCCGGGGAGCAAGGGCCGGGACGCGUCCCGGCCCGGAGAGUACCCGGAGAAAAAGCAUCGGCUAACUCCGUGCCAGCAGCCGCGGUAAUACGGAGGAUGCGAGCGUUAUCCGGAUUUAUUGGGUUUAAAGGGUGCGUAUGCGGGCUUUUAAGUCAGCGGUAAAAAUUCGGGGCUCAACCCCGUCCGGCCGU
Molecule: ribosomal RNA, 297 nt
Filed under: uncultured bacterium
Lineage: Bacteria
Description: partial 16S ribosomal RNA
Rfam family: Bacterial small subunit ribosomal RNA
Source: RNAcentral